AUGCCAUGGUGUGGACAUUGUCUAAGCAAUUCCUUGAAUCUUUCCCAAGCAUCGAAUAAAUAUUCAUCAUCUCUUUGCCUAAAUGAAGUAAUUUCCUUUCUCAUCUU
Molecule: small nucleolar RNA, 107 nt
Organism: Vicia villosa (hairy vetch)
Lineage: Eukaryota; Viridiplantae; Streptophyta; Magnoliopsida; Fabales; Fabaceae
Source: RefSeq, a predicted model, not a curated record